Molecule: ribosomal RNA, 566 nt
Filed under: uncultured bacterium
Lineage: Bacteria
Description: partial 16S ribosomal RNA
Rfam family: Bacterial small subunit ribosomal RNA
Source: RNAcentral
UGGGGAAUUUUGGACAAUGGGCGAAAGCCUGAUCCAGCAAUGCCGCGUGUGUGAAGAAGGCCUUCGGGUUGUAAAGCACUUUUGUCCGGAAAGAAAUCCUUGGCUCUAAUACAGUCGGGGGAUGACGGUACCGGAAGAAUAAGCACCGGCUAACUACGUGCCAGCAGCCGCGGUAAUACGUAGGGUGCAAGCGUUAAUCGGAAUUACUGGGCGUAAAGCGUGCGCAGGCGGUUUGCUAAGACCGAUGUGAAAUCCCCGGGCUCAACCUGGGAACUGCAUUGGUGACUGGCAGGCUAGAGUAUGGCAGAGGGGGGUAGAAUUCCACGUGUAGCAGUGAAAUGCGUAGAGAUGUGGAGGAAUACCGAUGGCGAAGGCAGCCCCCUGGGCCAAUACUGACGCUCAUGCACGAAAGCGUGGGGAGCAAACAGGAUUAGAUACCCUGGUAGUCCACNGCCCUAAACGAUGUCAACUAGUUGUUGGGGAUUCAUUUCCUUAGUAACGUAGCUAACGCGUGAAGUUGACCGCCUGGGGGAGUACGGCCGCAAGAUUAAAACUUAAAUGAAUUG